GUCUACGGCCAUGCCACCCUGAACAAGCCCGAUUCUGUCUGAUCUCGGAAGCUAAGCAAGGUUGGGCCUGGUUAGUACUUGGAUGGGAGAUGACUUAGGAAGACUAGGUGCUGUAGGCG
Molecule: non-coding RNA, 119 nt
Organism: Pteropus alecto (black flying fox)
Lineage: Eukaryota; Metazoa; Chordata; Mammalia; Chiroptera; Pteropodidae
Source: Rfam